Rhineura floridana is the source of this 669-nucleotide long non-coding RNA. RefSeq lists it as uncharacterized. Lineage: Eukaryota; Metazoa; Chordata; Lepidosauria; Squamata; Rhineuridae. The record is from RefSeq and is a predicted model, not a curated record. The transcript is spliced from 2 exons.
CCUGAGCUCUUUUCUCAAAGCCAAACCAGCUGUGAGUUUCUGCUUGAAAAUACAGAAGUAUCCAGGUGAAAGUCAGAAUGAGAAGGGAGAGUACUUUUUGGCUGUGAGCUACAAUGUCGCUUUGGUAUAAAUGCUAGGAGUCUGUCCUCCAGCCUGUGCUUGGUCAACACAUCAGAACAUUUUGCUUGUUGUAUGCCAUUUCCCAACUCAAGCCACUGGUCUCAAGGUAUAAUUUCAGGUAUAGCUAUUCACAGCCCCAGCAGAGAGUAUGCAAAGUAGGAGAAGUGCAGUUUUGUACAGACAUUGGUAGUACAUGUACCACAGGACUCUGUUGCUUUUGCUGCAAAAGACUUAGCACGCAACUACUCCUCUGGAAUGUGAAGAGGUAACAGAACCUGAAUCACCCAAGACCUGAAAUCCAUGUUUAGCCUAGUAAACAAUGGGCUAGUGGUUAACUUGUGGAAAACCAAGCGUGACAAACUGAGGGCAAUUUCUUCAUGUGCUGCACAUCUCAGCUCAGGCUGCCCUCUUACUUGAUCCCCUGUAACCUUCUUUCUGCCUUACAGAAUCCUGUGUUCUCUUGCCCAUUAAGCAAUCAUUCUGAGUUUGGUUUUUAGCUGUCCCCAUGGAGUACAGGAAAGCAAUAAACAGAGAAGAAAACACACACAA